Bos taurus (domestic cattle) is the source of this 72-nucleotide non-coding RNA. NCBI's taxonomy places the organism in Eukaryota, Metazoa, Chordata, Mammalia, Artiodactyla, Bovidae. The record is from Rfam.
UCCUGGGUAGCUCAGCUGGUAAAGAAUCUGCCUGCAAUGCGGAAGACCUUGGUUCAAUUCCUGGGUCGGGAA